RNAcentral lists this transfer RNA (75 nucleotides) under Marmota monax (woodchuck). Its description in RNAcentral is "tRNA.Ala". Lineage: Eukaryota; Metazoa; Chordata; Mammalia; Rodentia; Sciuridae. The record is from RNAcentral.
AUUUGUGGCUCAGUGGUAGAGCGCUCGCCUAGCAUGCACGAGGCACUGGGUUCAAUCCUCAGCACCACAUAAAUG